UACAGAGGGUGCAAGCGUUAUUCGGAAUUACUGGGCGUAAAGCGCACGUAGGCGGCUUUGUAAGUUAGAGGUGAAAGCCUGGAGCUCAACUCCAGAACUGCCUUUAAGACUGCAUCGCUUGAAUCCAGGAGAGGUGAGUGGAAUUCCGAGUGUAGAGGUGAAAUUCGUAGAUAUUCGGAAGAACACCAGUGGCGAAGGCGGCUCACUGGACUGGUAUUGACGCUGAGGUGCGAAAGCGUGGGGAGCAAACAGG
This 253-nucleotide ribosomal RNA is filed under the name uncultured bacterium. Its description in RNAcentral is "partial 16S ribosomal RNA". It matches the Rfam family "Bacterial small subunit ribosomal RNA", at positions 524 to 776 of the family's 1533-position model. The record is from RNAcentral.